This 870-nucleotide ribosomal RNA is filed under the name uncultured delta proteobacterium. RNAcentral's name for it is "bacterial SSU rRNA". It matches the Rfam family "Bacterial small subunit ribosomal RNA", at positions 54 to 898 of the family's 1533-position model. The record is from RNAcentral. Lineage: Bacteria; Deltaproteobacteria.
CAUGCAAGUCGUACGAGAAAGGGUCCUUCGGGACCUGAGUAAAGUGGCGCACGGGUGAGUAACGCGUGGAUAAUCUGCCCUUCAGUUAGGAAUAACUCAUCGAAAGGUGGGCUAAUACCGAAUGAUACUGCGAGACUUUGGUCGAGCAGUCAAAGAGAGCCUCUGCUUGCAUGCCCUCGCUGAAGGAUGAGUCCGCGUACCAUUAGCUAGUUGGUAGGGUAAUGGCCUACCAAGGCGACGAUGGUUAGCUGGUCUGAGAGGAUGAUCAGCCACACUGGAACUGAGACACGGUCCAGACUCCUACGGGAGGCAGCAGUGAGGAAUCUUGCGCAAUGGGGGCAACCCUGACGCAGCAACGCCGCGUGAGUGAGGGAGGUCUUCGGAUCGUAAAGCUCUGUCAGAUGGAAAGAACCACACGGGGAUAAAUAGUCCUCGUGUCUGACGGUACCAUCAGAGGAAGCACCGGCUAACUCCGUGCCAGCAGCCGCGGUAAUACGGGGGGUGCAAGCGUUGUUCGGAAUUAUUGGGCGUAAAGAGCGUGUAGGCGGCCUGAUAUGUCAGAUGUGAAAGCCCUGGGCUCAACCCAGGAAGUGCAUUUGAAACUGUCAGGCUCGAGUAGGGGAGAGGGAAGUGGAAUUCCUGGUGUAGAGGUGAAAUUCGUAGAUAUCAGGAGGAACACCGGUGGCGAAGGCGAUUUCCUGGCCCUAUACUGACGCUGAGACGCGAGAGCGUGGGUAGCAAACAGGAUUAGAUACCCUGGUAGUCCACGCCGUAAACGAUGUUCACUAGGUGUUGGGGGUAUUGACCCCCUCAGUGCCGGAGCUAACGCAUUAAGUGAACCGCCUGGGGGAGUACGGUCGCAAGAACUAA